GAUGAACGCUGGCGGCGCGCCUAACACAUGCAAGUCGAACGGCACCCCUCCUCGGAGGGCAGCGAGUGGCGAACGGCUGAGUAACACGUGGAGAACCUGCCCCCUCCCCCGGGAUAGCCGCCCGAAAGGACGGGUAAUACCGGAUACCCCGGGGUGCCGCAUGGCACCCCGGCUAAAGCCCCGACGGGAGGGGAUGGCUCCGCGGCCCAUCAGGUAGACGGCGGGGUGACGGCCCACCGUGCCGACAACGGGUAGCCGGGGUGAGAGACCGACCGGCCAGAUUGGGACUGAGACACGGCCCAGACUCCUACGGGAGGCAGCAGUGGGGAAUCUUGCGCAAUGGGGGGAACCCUGACGCAGCGACGCCGCGUGCGGGACGGAGGCCUUCGGGUCGUAAACCGCUUUCAGCAGGGAAGAGUCAAGACUGUACCUGCAGAAGAAGCCCCGGCUAACUACGUG
RNAcentral lists this ribosomal RNA (459 nucleotides) under uncultured bacterium. Its description in RNAcentral is "partial 16S ribosomal RNA". It matches the Rfam family "Bacterial small subunit ribosomal RNA", at positions 28 to 507 of the family's 1533-position model. The record is from RNAcentral.